UUUACGGAGAGUUUGAUCCUGGCUCAGGAUGAACGCUGGCGGCGUGCUUAACACAUGCAAGUCGAACGGUGAAGGAGAGCUUGCUUUCUGGAUCAGUGGCGAACGGGUGAGUAACACGUGAGCAAUCUGCCCCUGACUCUGGGAUAAGCGCUGGAAACGGCGUCUAAUACUGGAUAUGAGCCGCAGCCGCAUGGUUAGUGGUUGGAAAGAUUUUUUGGUCAGGGAUGAGCUCGCGGCCUAUCAGCUUGUUGGUGAGGUAAUGGCUCACCAAGGCGUCGACGGGUAGCCGGCCUGAGAGGGUGACCGGCCACACUGGGACUGAGACACGGCCCAGACUCCUACGGGAGGCAGCAGUGGGGAAUAUUGCACAAUGGGCGGAAGCCUGAUGCAGCAACGCCGCGUGAGGGAUGACGGCCUUCGGGUUGUAAACCUCUUUUAGCAGGGAAGAAGCUUUCGGGUGACGGUACCUGCAGAAAAAGCACCGGCUAACUACGUGCCAGCAGCCGCGGUAAUACGUAGGGUGCAAGCGUUAUCCGGAAUUAUUGGGCGUAAAGAGCUCGUAGGCGGUUUGUCGCGUCUGCUGUGAAAUCCCGAGGCUCAACUUCGGGUCUGCAGUGGGUACGGGCAGACUAGAGUGCGGUAGGGGAGAUUGGAAUUCCUGGUGUAGCGGUGGAAUGCGCAGAUAUCAGGAGGAACACCGAUGGCGAAGGCAGAUCUCUGGGCCGUAACUGACGCUGAGGAGCGAAAGGGUGGGGAGCAAACAGGCUUAGAUACCCUGGUAGUCCACCCCGUAAACGUUGGGAACUAGUUGUGGGGUCCAUUCCACGGAUUCCGUGACGCAGCUAACGCAUUAAGUUCCCCGCCUGGGGAGUACGGCCGCAAGGCUAAAACUCAAAGGAAUUGACGGGGACCCGCACAAGCGGCGGAGCAUGCGGAUUAAUUCGAUGCAACGCGAAGAACCUUACCAAGGCUUGACAUAUACAGGUAACGGCUGGAAACAGUCGCCCCGCAAGGUCUGUAUACAGGUGGUGCAUGGUUGUCGUCAGCUCGUGUCGUGAGAUGUUGGGUUAAGUCCCGCAACGAGCGCAACCCUCGUUCUAUGUUGCCAGCACGUUAUGGUGGGAACUCAUGGGAUACUGCCGGGGUCAACUCGGAGGAAGGUGGGGAUGACGUCAAAUCAUCAUGCCCCUUAUGUCUUGGGCUUCACGCAUGCUACAAUGGCCGGUACAAAGGGCUGCAAUACCGUGAGGUGGAGCGAAUCCCAAAAAGCCGGUCCCAGUUCAGAUUGAGGUCUGCAACUCGACCUCAUGAAGUCGGAGUCGCUAGUAAUCGCAGAUCAGCAACGCUGCGGUGAAUACGUUCCCGGGUCUUGUACACACCGCCCGUCAAGUCAUGAAAGUCGGUAACACCUGAAGCCGGUGGCCCAACCCUUGUGGAGGGAGCCGUCGAAGGUGGGAUCGGUAAUUAGGACUAAGUCGUAACAAGGUAGCCGUACCGGAAGGUGCGGCUGGAUCACCUCCUUUCUAAGGA
RNAcentral lists this ribosomal RNA (1530 nucleotides) under Microbacterium ulmi. RNAcentral describes it as "bacterial SSU rRNA". It matches the Rfam family "Bacterial small subunit ribosomal RNA". Lineage: Bacteria; Bacillati; Actinomycetota; Actinomycetes; Micrococcales; Microbacteriaceae. The record is from RNAcentral.